UCAUAAUAACUUCUCGAAAUCGUAUGGCCUUGUUUGUUGGCGAUGCUUCAUUCAAAUAUCUGCCCUAUCAACUUUCGAUGGUAGGAUAGAGGCUACCAUGGUUUCAACGGGUAACGGGGAAUAAGGGUUCGAUUCCGGAGAGGGAGCCUGAGAAACGGCUAACACAUCCAAGGAAGGCAGCAGGCGCGCAAAUUACCAAUCCCGACACGGGGAGGUAGUGACAAUAAAUAACAAUAUAGGGCCCUUUUGGGUCUUAUAAUUGGAAUGAGUACAAUUUAAAUCCCUUAACGAGGAACAAUUGGAGGGCAAGUUCUGGUGCCAGCAGCCGCGGUAAUUCCAGCUCCAAUAGCGUAUAUUAAAGUUGUUGCAGUUAAAAAAGCUCGUAAGUUGAACUUCAGACCUGGCUGGGAUGGUCUGCCUAACGGUACGUACUUGUCCGGCUGGGCCUUUACCUCUUGGUGGAGGCCGGCAUGCCCUU
Molecule: ribosomal RNA, 478 nt
Filed under: uncultured fungus
Lineage: Eukaryota; Fungi
Description: SSU rRNA
Rfam family: Eukaryotic small subunit ribosomal RNA
Source: RNAcentral